GCCGAUGUAGCUCAGCUGGUAGAGCAACGGUUUCGUAAACCGUAGGUCGAGGGUUCGAAUCCCCUCAUCGGCU
This 73-nucleotide transfer RNA is filed under the name Cyanobacteria bacterium SZAS-4. RNAcentral's name for it is "tRNA-Thr". It matches the Rfam family "tRNA". Rfam says of the family: Transfer RNA (tRNA) molecules are approximately 80 nucleotides in length. Their secondary structure includes four short double-helical elements and three loops (D, anti-codon, and T loops). RNAcentral also lists the same sequence under 1 other name. Lineage: Bacteria; Bacillati; Cyanobacteriota. The record is from RNAcentral.